GGUGGUAUAGCUCAGAGGUAGACCAUGUGCUUAGUGUGCACGAGGUCCUGUGUUCAAGCCCCAGUACCUCCA
This 72-nucleotide transfer RNA is filed under the name Camelus bactrianus (Bactrian camel). It matches the Rfam family "tRNA". Rfam says of the family: Transfer RNA (tRNA) molecules are approximately 80 nucleotides in length. Lineage: Eukaryota; Metazoa; Chordata; Mammalia; Artiodactyla; Camelidae. The record is from Rfam by way of RNAcentral. RNAcentral also lists the same sequence under 2 other names.